AAUCAACGCUGGCGGCGUGCCUCAGACAUGCAAGUCGAACGCGAAAGUUCCCUUCGGGGAGCGAGUAGAGUGGCGUCCGGGUGAGUAACACGUAGGUAAUCUACCUUUGGGUGGGGAAUAACAACCGGAAACGGUUGCUAAUACCGCAUAAUGCAGCGGCACCACAUGGUGACAGUUGUUAAAGCGGGGGAGUCGUAAGACCUCGCGCCUGGAGAUGAGCCUGCGGCGGAUUAGCUAGUUGGCGAGGGUAACGGCCUACCAAGGCGACGAUCCGUAGCCGGCCUGAGGAGGGCGGACGGCCACACUGGCACUGACAUACGGGCCGAGACUCCUACGGGAGGCAGCAGUGAGGAAUAUUGCACAA
RNAcentral lists this ribosomal RNA (364 nucleotides) under uncultured bacterium. RNAcentral describes it as "bacterial SSU rRNA". It matches the Rfam family "Bacterial small subunit ribosomal RNA", at positions 32 to 371 of the family's 1533-position model. The record is from RNAcentral.